This 311-nucleotide ribosomal RNA is filed under the name uncultured bacterium. Its description in RNAcentral is "bacterial SSU rRNA". It matches the Rfam family "Bacterial small subunit ribosomal RNA", at positions 28 to 334 of the family's 1533-position model. The record is from RNAcentral.
GACGAACGCUGGCGGCGCGCCUAACACAUGCAAGUCGAACGAGCGAGAGAGAGCUUGCUUUCUCAAGCGAGUGGCGAACGGGUGAGUAACGCGUGAGGAACCUGCCUCAAAGAGGGGGACAACAGUUGGAAACGACUGCUAAUACCGCAUAAGCCCACGGAACCGCAUGGUUCUGGGGGAAAAGGAGCAAUUCGCUCUGGGAUGGACUCGCGUCCGAUUAGCUGGAUGGUGAGGUAACGGCCCACCAUGGCGACGAUCGGUAGCCGGACUGAGAGGUUGAUCGGCCACAUUGGGACUGAGACACGGCCCAG